RNAcentral lists this small nucleolar RNA (124 nucleotides) under Echinops telfairi (small Madagascar hedgehog). Its description in RNAcentral is "Small nucleolar RNA SNORA61 (ENSETEG00000025949.1)". The record is from RNAcentral. Lineage: Eukaryota; Metazoa; Chordata; Mammalia; Afrosoricida; Tenrecidae.
ACUUUCAGAUUACUUACCCCUUGGAUCUAAAUAUUGGUGUAAGUGGCUAAAAAAGGAGAAAACAUAAAACUGAAGUGGACUUGGACUCUUAAUGACAUGACAUCCAAGUUCAUUUUGAACAAAA